RNAcentral lists this long non-coding RNA (214 nucleotides) under Lathyrus oleraceus (garden pea). Its description in RNAcentral is "Pisum sativum (pea) long non-coding RNA (PSAT_LNC041825)". Lineage: Eukaryota; Viridiplantae; Streptophyta; Magnoliopsida; Fabales; Fabaceae. The record is from RNAcentral.
ACAAACCCUCCCCAAACACCAAUUCCGAAGCCAUGGCGGGCGCCAUAAGCCUCGUUGCGGGUGCCAUGGGGCCUGAACAUUUAACGGGACAGAAUCCCUAAAUUCCCCAUUUUUACCUUUUUCAACCUCCUAAAAGCCAUUUUUUCCUCCUUCCAACUCCAUUGAAGUCCACGAAAAAUCCCAACUUUAUCAUUCUAACUCCAACCCAUUAUCA